This 534-nucleotide long non-coding RNA is filed under the name Coturnix japonica (Japanese quail). Its description in RNAcentral is "lncRNA (ENSCJPG00005002538.1)". The record is from RNAcentral. Lineage: Eukaryota; Metazoa; Chordata; Aves; Galliformes; Phasianidae.
AUUAAAUAGUGCUCAGUUUAGUUAAAUAAAUUUGCCAAAAUCAUGAUCAUAUUAACCACUGAGACAGUCUAUCCAUGAAAAGAAACAAGGCUGAGUUUUUGUUGUUGUUGUUGUUGUUUACUAUGUGCAUCGUUGUGUAGGUAGGACCUAAGUAUGUAGAGAUGGAUGUAUGAAACAGAAGAAUAUGGAAUCUGAACUUAGGAUGGGCUUCAGCUUCUUAUAUUCCAGCUGUUUUAUAUCUGUUAACAAGAGGACAACACAAAUCAAGGCUAAAUAGCAACACUGGAAGAAGAAAAGGAAAAGAGAAAACAGGAACAACACAGACCCAAAAUAACCCUUGCCGUUAGCAUCACAGAGUCCUAAGUCAGGAAAACUACUACUGAGCCUGUUGUCAGUAAGAUAAAAGGUAGGGAAGGUUUGGCUUUAGGUAUCUCUCAGUGUAAAAUCCAGUUAAUUUCUUAUUAAACCUGAAAAUCAGUCCCUGACUGAGCCCUUGAAAGAUAAAUAAAAUGCUGAUAAAUUUGUCUAGCUCCA